UAGCUGUGGAGUGAGACCUCAGUUUUAAUAUCAGUAGUGUUCCUAAAACCCUGGACUUAAAAUUAGUGAACUCAUUACUAUAUUUCAGUAGUUAGUUCAAAUUGUUAACUUGAAAAACCCAAUGCUUCAAUUGCUAAGAACACUGUGCUUUAGGGUCUGGUUGUUUUUCAAUACUGCAAAGUCAUGCAGUCCAGAGUCCAGUCCUGCAAGAUGCAAAAUUCUUGCUUCUUCGUACUGUAGGAAUUAAAAAGGGCUUAUUGCCGAGGAAAGCUUGAACCCUUAAAGCAUGAAUACUCACAUGUCUGCUUUAAAUUUAAAUACAGAUUACAAGAACUAACCAAAAGAAUGCAGCAGGAAUGUGCAUACAUGAAGCUACAGUAUUCAAAGUAAAAGCGGCUGAGAGAGUUCGAUACAUGUUCUCUUGUGAAAGUGCAAAAUGUUGGAAGCAGAGAGUGAGGAUUUGAAGAAUGGCUGAAGGCAUUUGGAGGAGGAUUUGGAAUGUUUUGUAUCUGCAGUAGAGCUGCUAGGAGCGUUUGAUUCAUAUGGUAUGUUUGUCUUGGCAUGGUAGGGUAAAUUAAUAUGUAGUCAUAGGUGUUAUUUUUACUGGCUUUUUAAAACGUGAUUUUUAUUUUUUUUUUAAAAUUACAGAUAUUUUUUGCAGAGGUUCCGUUAUUUUUACACAUCUUCCUUUCCAAAUGUAUUUAAUUCAAUCUGUCAGCUCAGUUUCUGUUUACUUAUUAAAGGUCAGAUUUUCAAACCACGGUCUUUGGUUUUACACAUGCAAAAUGCCAGGGGAAUAGGCAUAUAUGCAACUUUGAAGUGGUAAUUUCUAAAUGGAUGCAGGUUAGAUGAUUUCAAAGUCUAAAUACUGUAUGAAUGCAGCCAGGUGUUUACAGUAGGCGUGAACUGAACCAAGUUAAGGCUGGGCUGAAAAUCAAGCCCUUGAAAUGUGGAAUUUAACAUGUGCUUAGAAGGUGUGUUGUAGUACAGCAUUUGCAAUGCAGUGAUAUUAAAAUGAUAUAAUACUGUGUUAAGGGAAAAAAUGUUAAAACUUCUGACACUUGUUGUAAACAUAUUUGUAAAAAUAUUUAAAAUAAAUAAAAAAUUCAUAGUGAGAUCCUGUUGGGGACCAGCUAACUUGGUGCAUUCUGUUGGCACAUGUUAUUUUAAGGUCUACAGGGGCUGAAAAAAAAAGGUUUUGUUAACUUCAAUGAGCAUUUCAAAAGACAGUUGCUAAAUGGCCUUUGGUUCUAUUCUUUGCUAUUUUCCACAUGAUGCUGUGUUCAGUGGUGAAGAAUAACCUCCAGUGUAUUUGUUCUUUAGAAGACUAUUCUUCGUCUCUAAUUAGGGAAUGAAGAUAGAAAUCAAAUGCAAAGAAUCUAAUGAAUAGAGUUUACAACAGGUCCAGCCUGUGGCAAGUUAGAGAGCAAGUCUGUAGAUACUAUAACGUUAGUUUGGUUCAGAAAUGUGGCAGUCAAAACUACCAAAUCAUUAAUUUUAUGAGCACAGUUUCAGAAGGUGCCUAACUUUUAUAAAGGGAAUUUAAAUGCUGUUUUUUUCCAGUUGGGAAUAUUUAGGUAGAAUUAGGAGGCUUUAAAAAUACUUCAAAGACUGCAAGAAAACCUGAUGGGAGAAAACUGUGUAAAAGCCCUCCAGACUUUCACCUUGGUAAUCCUGGAUAAUUCUGACAGGGUUUAUAUGCUCUUUACAAAGAUAUUUUGCUUUGAAAUACCCAACAUAUCUGUCCUCUUUAUGACUGAUCUGGGGGGACUUGGAUGGAAAUUGCAGAGGCUUGACCUGGCAGAGCAGUAAGUAUGUGCACUCCUGCACACUGCUGAAAUCUCUUCAUCCAGUCAAAGCAAAUAGGUGUUUGAAGUCCUUUCAGCAGUUCUGCAGAAUUGAGUCCUUAAUGUCAGAGGAAUUCAGGAUCUGGCUCCAUUUUCUUCCAUUUUCACUUGAGCCAGUAUGCAAGGAUUUAAAUGGGACUUUGUUUAAAGAGUAGCAAACAUGAAGUAUUAUUAUCUAGUACUAAGCUAGCAGUUAACAUGUCUAUUUUUGCUGUCUCACCACCAAUACUGUAAAAAUGUAUAAUCAAAACAGCUUUAAUUCUUGUAAAACUGAAAUUGGUUUGUAAAACUAUGUACAAAUUGUGUUUCAUAGACAGAAAAGCUUGUAUUACUGAAUGUAAUAUAUGUGAAAUGAAUAUAUUAUAGUCUAUUUUUGCCAUGGAAAUAAAUAUUUGAAGCAAGUAUGAGGGUUUCUUGUUCCAUUAUUAAAAGAAAAAAAUCAGAUAACUUAGUUUUCAUGUGUAGUCCUAGGUUGGGACUUUACCUUCCAUACACAAAGGUGUUUUAUCCCUCUGGUAAAGCACUGCAAGUACUGUCCUGUAUCUCAGUACGAAUAUAAAACUUGUACUUUCAAAUGCUAAUAGCUGACAUCUUUGUGGCAGGAAGGUUUUGUGCCUGCUACCAUAGCAUUAUUGUUUAUAAUGAUCCGCAUUUUCUAAAGCUAUUUUUAGUAUUGAACAAUUUCCCCGUAGCCUUUAAGUGAAGGGGGGAUAAAAAGGUUUUGAGAGUUGAAAAACCCUUUCCAAAAACAUGUGAGAGGAAAAAGUUCAUGGUAUACUUACAUACUAUCACUGGAGCUGCUAUGAAUAACUAACACUGAAGUUUUUCUUCAUUUUAUAAUUGAUAUUUAGUCAAAAAGUGACGUGGUGCCAGAGGUUUGCUGUAUUAACACCUGGUGCAGCACAAGACCUCAUCACGUCAUGAUAAAUGAAUUGCAUGUUGGACAUUGCAAUUUCAGAGCGGACAUUUGCAUUUCCCUUGGUUUUGCUAAAUGUCUAAUGCACUGACCACUGAACUACAUCUGAAAUGACUGCACUUUUAACUAAAAUCUUUCUUCUAGGUAUGCUCAAUUUGGUGGCUUUAAUGAACCUCAGCAUCCCCUGGAAGGCUGGACAUGAAAUGAAGACUGCAUGAAAGCAGAAGCUGCCCAGUGCCACAGAAACAUUGCCAGUUUACCUCCUGCAGCCUGAGAACUACUUGUGGAUAAUCACAAUCAGUGAAUACGAUGGGAAUGUCAGUUAUGCAGGUACUGACAGGAGAUGCUGCUGCAGAAAAGCUGGAGUGAGGACUGGGUGAUCGGUGAAUGCUCAUCAGCUCUGAUCCAAGUAAGUUAUUUCAUAUUGCUGUAUAUCCCAUUGGCUUAGUCUGGCUCUUGGGCAAGUGGAACCUUCUGCCGUCAGCACUUGGGGUCUGUGGCACCAGUGGAAUGUAACGCUUAGGGAAAUGGUGGUUCUGAUACUUAAAAGCUAUUUCUGUUGUUACCACAGUUGCUUUAAACUAGGAUAUGGGUGAGCCUGGGGCUAUUUUACCACAAAAUGGCUUUAUCUUUCAGAGCUACACAGGGUUAAAGACAUGUUGUUUUGACUUCAUGGCAUUCUUUGGGAGCUUUUCUAAAGCAAGGUCUUGCAAAAUGGCGUAACACAGAUGUGGGAGCUAGAAGGGGUAGAGCUUAGAAAAACUCUGUCCCAUUUCUGAUCAAUCGCCACGUCUCCCAAACUGGUCUGCAUGCCAGUCAUCUUCCAGAUGGAAACCUAAGUUUAAACCAAGCAUCUGCCAUCCCCAACAUACCAAACCAGUGUUAUUUGCUGCCCUGAUUAUUCUAUGGAUCUAAAAUAUCUGCUGUAAUAAACGAAACCACCAGAAAAAGCUUGGAGGGCAUGCAGAUGAGAUUCAUAUUAUUAUUAUUAUUAGCCAUUUCUAAAAUGACAAUCAUGUGACUUAAUAUAAAUUUAGAAGGACAUCAAAUCCUUCCACGAAGAGACCCUGACUUAUCAUACCCAGAGGCGAAUGAAGAAUUUUCACUGGUGUUAAGUACCUGUGAAGAAAGACCCUGUCAUGCCUGGCUAAUACUGAUAAUCAGUGACUUGAAGGAACUGCAUACUUUGUGUGUGCAUGUGUGUAUCCAAUUUCUUCUGUCUGCAUGCUGUGCUAUUCAUGCCUGAUGGAAGCUGAAUUUUUCCAUUGACAAAAUCUUUAGCAAAAGACUUCAGAAGUUGGGAGAUAGUUUAGUUUUAGUUUGAUAAUGUGGAAGAUACUAUUUUAGCAGAUUUAGCAGGGUUUAUUGAGUUUUCUGCCCCACAGAACUAGAGAUGCAGUAGCUUCAAUGCACUGUGAAAAAAAGUCUACCUAAAAUAAGGAGCAUUGCUGAGUGGAUGCACUCCCUGCAGUCAGAGCAAAAUUUAUAUUAGUGCUAUGGUGUUAGUUGGCAGGGCUGCUAAUGUGAGUUUAGCACUUUCAGUGCAUUUAUACCAUCAAACUGGAAACAAAAUGCUUCAUUUGAGCUUGUUUUCAGGACAAAAGGUCAGCCUCAUUCCCCUGCACAAUAGUGGAGUUUAAAUAAUGACAAGCAGAACUGAGGCUAAUUUAUAUUCUCUGCUGAAAGAAACUGGACUACUACACCAAUGGUACAGACUGAAUUGUCCCCAUUACCUGUGAAGCCAGCUUGGGCCAUGAGCUGGCCAGCCCCACUGCUCCCCUGCCCCAUAGCUCUGUCAUUGGAGUGUGCCUGAGACUGCAGCUUGAGUGCUGUAUGGCAGGGGUGUGCUCCCACCUACCAAUUACUUCUUUGGGUAAAGGGGCAGACAACAAGCAGCUGGUUGUGGAGAUGUGCCCGCAAGCCCUCUGGAGAGGUCUGACUGCACCAUGAAGUGAACUGAACAUUGGAUCUAAGAGGUCUAAAAACAGCCAUGGGGAAAACAUGUGCUAUGGAAAACUACUGUGAGAGCCUUUUGAAAGACCCACAUUUAAGCUGAAAGCCCCUGUGUAAGGCUUAAUACUCUCAAUUUGGGAGGAGAGGACCCAUCAUGCAAACUUGUUCAGAAAGGGAAGCUGAGAUGAGACCUCCAGGAGCUAUUCUGUCUUUCUCUUGCAAUCAACUGUUAUCAGAGUUGGUUGUGCCCAGCAUUUGGGAAGCCUCAUAACCAGCUCCCAAACCUAUGUGAUCUGUAUUAUCUCCAGUCUUGCCUGAGUCAAACAUCAGGAAAAGCAGAGGGCCAAAUGCCUCUGAGCUGAAUUUCUGGUUGGGGAGGCUACACCUCUGAGGUCCUGCAAGGAAUUCUCAGGCUGGCAGAAGAGCAGACGGCCUUUGACACGUUGCUUCACUUCUUAUUUGGCAUGUGAACAUGCUUAUGAGUGAGAGAAACAGUAUAUGGGAAGAGCUUGGGUCACCUCAUACUUCUGUUACUCAUGUUCUGGAAUCAAGCUCCAGCUGCUGUGAGAUGUAAGGUAUGCCACAGCCCUCGUGCAGAUACUGUAAGGGGAGUCCUGAAUUCUUGGGAUAACUGCAGGGAGCUCUGCACCUCGUGCUACAGAUCACACUGCCUGUCCUCUGCGAGAAUGGGACAGCACAGCUCUGUAGCCUGCCAGACUGAGGCGGUGUUUGAGUUUCAAGUUUCCUAUGCUUCCCUACUCCAUUUAUAUAGCAUUUACUUGCCCUUCUCAAGGUCUAAUUUCAUUCCCCCAAUGUGGUAGGGCUGGGAGGAUCAAAGGGGAGACUCUGUGUGCCUGUGAUCUGCAGAGCAGUGAGGGCACAGCAGCAGCCCGUGCCUGUGCCUGCUGGGGAGGGUUGUUCGGCAGCUUCAGCAUCCCUCCAGCCCAAAAUGUGGUGCUGGGUUCAGAGUCUCUGCCUUUUGCAGACCAGUCUGACUGUUUAAAAGAUGAAUGCAAAGGUAACUUUCAUGUGUUGUCAGGCACACUUCCUGGACUUCAAUCUGGUGGAAUUAGCUUAAUGUGUGAGCUAAAAGGAUCAGUCCUUUUAGGAGGCCUAAAGAGAAAGCCCUGCUGCUCUGGAGGCUUUAUACAGAGACCAGAAAGUUCCAUGCACAGUAGACCCAGCAUUCUUAAUUUUGGUUCCUUUCACUCGAAUUAACACUUCUUGUUGGUACUCAUGGACUACCUGCCAUCCUGGAGUCCUCCUAACUAAGGUGGCUGAGGUGGAGAUGAGCUAUGGGUGCUCUACAGCUCGACUGAUGAUUUGUCAUGCCAGUGAUAACUGCUGAUUCUUCUUUUCCUCCCCAGCAGUGCUUUAUCCCUGUGACAUGCUCAGCUUCCGCUGGCCCACAACCCGCUACAGGUUUUGAAACUGGAUCCCUUGACUGGUUGUGACCCACGCUGGUGCAAUGGCUGGUGUGGCUGAUGAUUAGUUUACCGCUCACCUGUUUACGUAUCACUUGCUUUGCUACUUGGAAUAGAAACUGAAGAUGGUUGUUUCUGAAUGAAGCAGAUUUCACUACUGGUUAAGGAAACAGGAAGAUUGGACUGCUUGAAGCAGAAUAAGACCAACUCGAGAGGUGUUUGGCGACAGGCUUUACUGGUUCUUAAGGCUUCUUAUAGUUCCUCACCUACAGCAAGAGAAUGUAAUAUCCCAGCAUAUCCUUGGAACAUGUUGAGCUCCUUCUGCAGUAACAUGAAUGCCAGUAACUGUAAAACAUAAGAACCUCAUGCCUCAAUGGGACUGAACAUCCAACAGUGCCCUCUUCCAGGAUGGACAAACAGUUCCAGGUAUUUAGGCAUGCUUUGAUGUGGGUA
Long non-coding RNA from Pezoporus occidentalis (night parrot), 6593 nucleotides. RefSeq lists it as uncharacterized. The record is from RefSeq and is a predicted model, not a curated record. The transcript has 4 exons. NCBI's taxonomy places the organism in Eukaryota, Metazoa, Chordata, Aves, Psittaciformes, Psittacidae.